UGGGGAUUGCGAGCUCCCCACGAGGCGCCAGCCGAAGAUCGC
Molecule: non-coding RNA, 42 nt
Filed under: unclassified sequences
Source: RNAcentral